This is a non-coding RNA of Magnaporthiopsis poae ATCC 64411, 72 nucleotides long. NCBI's taxonomy places the organism in Eukaryota, Fungi, Ascomycota, Sordariomycetes, Magnaporthales, Magnaporthaceae. The record is from the annotation of a GenBank genome assembly.
AAUCGUUUGGCGCAAUGGUAACGCGUUUAUUCUUGGGGCGAGAGGUUUUUGGUUCGAUUCCAAAAAUAUUUU